UUAUGCACUGUUCUCCCAGGGUAACAAACUGCUCCUUCCAUAACAAGCUGCAAGCCCGGCUCCCUCUGGGCGGCACAUAUGAAGCUGCAUGUGAUUGGUUUUGCACGGAAAUAACAACACAGGAAUUGUGAGGUUGCUGCCUCCACCCUUUUGCAUUUGGAUUUUUGCUUUCCUGCGCACCUUCUGCAGCCGUAUAAGGGCAUGCAUUUGAGUGAUUGUGGACGUUUGGAUUUAAGCUUAUUACUUAAAAUUGUCUCCAGUCCAGCCACUAAUCCCUGCCUUCUUCAGGGAGGGAUAACAAUAAUACAACAAGAUCCAGAGCUACUAAUGAAGUCCUGUAGGGUUCCCUGAAUGCAGGAGAAGAUGAGAGAUAUGGAGAAGCGUGAAGACUGAGAGAGUAUUGAUCGAAUGGAGACCAAAGCUGGACCAAGAAAGGAGGAAAUGAGGGGGAAACGAAAGUCGGGAAGAGGGAACUGAAAAAACCAGACUGAUUCCUUCUCCUGCGUCUCCCCCGCCAGACCCACCGUUCGACCCCUGGGAUUGAAUUAGGCCUGGCCCAUUAUGCUGUUGCCAUGGGAACCCUGACACCUCCACUGACGAAGCGAGGGCCACGCAAGACAGGGCCGCUGAUCAGAAAGUGUGUGAAAGUGUGUGACAGUGUACGUGGGUUUGUGUCAGUUGUAGUCACUCACAAAUGUGUCUGUAGAUAUCACUCAGUAAGGAAUAGACUAGAAUCAGUUGCUCCUUUUUAUUUAUUAAUCCUGAUUUUUCAUGCAUUAAAAUAAUCUGCUGCUAUUACAUCAAAACCCAUUUCAUUCAGAUUGGUCUUUUUUCUCCUCACACAUCUGCUCUUGUUUUUACACCUGUAUUCAGAGAGUGAUUUAAUUUUUUUAAAUUUACUUUUAAUUAGACAGGCAAUCUCAUUUAGACUGGUGGUCUCAUUUACAACACGUCAGAAAAUAACACAACAAUCAUAAAUAUUAUACUGGCAUUUAACAAGAACAGAAUUAAAGACAAAACUUGGAAACCUGAAA
Long non-coding RNA from Girardinichthys multiradiatus, 1034 nucleotides. RefSeq lists it as uncharacterized. The transcript is spliced from 2 exons. The record is from RefSeq and is a predicted model, not a curated record. NCBI's taxonomy places the organism in Eukaryota, Metazoa, Chordata, Actinopteri, Cyprinodontiformes, Goodeidae.